CUGGCACAUGAUGAUGAUGAUGUACCUAUCUGAUUGUGGAAAGGCCUGGGUCAUCAGACUUCAAUGCCACAGAUCUACCCCCCAGCAGACAACGUACCUGUCGGGUUUGGGAAUGUACAGCAAGUUUUCGUAGGCACACACUGAUCCACACAGGUUUUAAUGAAGGUUCUUUUGAAGAUCCUGACCCAGAAUUACAUGCUGACUAUGGUUCUUUGUGGGAAUGGGACCCACUCUCAGGGGUUUCAUGACUGGCCGUUGAAUCUGACUAAAUGAAACAAUUGGCAGCACCCAU
Mobula hypostoma (lesser devil ray) is the source of this 292-nucleotide long non-coding RNA. RefSeq lists it as uncharacterized. The record is from RefSeq and is a predicted model, not a curated record. The transcript is spliced from 3 exons. Lineage: Eukaryota; Metazoa; Chordata; Chondrichthyes; Myliobatiformes; Myliobatidae.